RNAcentral lists this ribosomal RNA (120 nucleotides) under uncultured bacterium. RNAcentral's name for it is "partial 16S ribosomal RNA". It matches the Rfam family "Bacterial small subunit ribosomal RNA", at positions 29 to 159 of the family's 1533-position model. The record is from RNAcentral.
AGCGAACGCUGGCGGCAGGCCUAAUACAUGCAAGUCGAGCGGUCCCUUCGGGGGCAGCGGCGGACGGGUGAGUAACGCGUGGGAAUGUGCCCUUUGGUACGGAACAACUGAGGGAAACUU